RNAcentral lists this ribosomal RNA (468 nucleotides) under uncultured bacterium. RNAcentral's name for it is "partial 16S ribosomal RNA". It matches the Rfam family "Bacterial small subunit ribosomal RNA", at positions 28 to 507 of the family's 1533-position model. The record is from RNAcentral.
GACGAACGCUGGCGGCGUGCUUAACACAUGCAAGUCGAACGGAAAGGCCCUGCUUUUGUGGGGUGCUCGAGUGGCGAACGGGUGAGUAACACGUGAGUAACCUGCCCUUGACUUUGGGAUAACUUCAGGAAACUGGGGCUAAUACCGGAUAGGAGCUCCUGCUGCAUGGUGGGGGUUGGAAAGUUUCGGCGGUUGGGGAUGGACUCGCGGCUUUUCAGCUUGUUGGUGGGGUAGUGGCUUACCAAGGCUUUGACGGGUAGCCGGCCUGAGAGGGUGACCGGCCACAUUGGGACUGAGAUACGGCCCAGACUCCUACGGGAGGCAGCAGUGGGGAAUAUUGCACAAUGGGCGGAAGCCUGAUGCAGCAACGCCGCGUGCGGGAUGACGGCCUUCGGGUUGUAAACCGCUUUCGCCUGUGACGAUGCGUGAGUGACGGUAAUGGGUAAAGAAGCACCGGCUAACUACGUG